GACAGAUAAGGAGCUUGCUCCUUUGACGUUAGCGGCGGACGGUUUUCCAAACUUAGAGGGUAACCUACCUAUAAGACUGGGAUAACUCCCCCUGUAACCGGAGCUAAUACCGGAUAAUAUUUCGAACCGCAUGGUUCGAUAGUGAAAGAUGGUUUUGCUAUCACUUAUAGAUGGACCCGCGCCGUAUUAGCUAGUUGGUAAGGUAACGGCUUACCAAGGCGACGAUACGUAGCCGACCUGAGAGGGUGAUCGGCCACACUGGAACUGAGACACGGUCCAGACUCCUACGGGAGGCAGCAGUAGGGAAUCUUCCGCAAUGGGCGAAAGCCUGACGGAGCAACGCCGCGUGAGUGAUGAAGGUCUUCGGAUCGUAAAACUCUGUUAUUAGGGAAGAACAUACGUGUAAGUAACUGUGCACGUCUUGACGGUACCUAAUCAGAAAGCCACGGCUAACUACGUGCCAGCAGCCGCGGUAAUACGUAGGUGGCAAGCGUUAUCCGGAAUUAUUGGGCGUAUAGCGCGCGUAGGCGGUUUUUUUAGUCUGAUGUGAAAGCCCACGGCUCAACCGUGGAGGGUCAUUGGAAACUUGGAAAAUUUGAGUGCAGAAGAGGAAAGUGGGAAUUCCAUGUGUAGCGGUGAAAUGCGCCAGAGAUAUGGAGGAACACCCGUGGCGAAGGCGACUUUCUUGGCCUGUAACUUGACGCCUGAUGUGCGAAAGCG
RNAcentral lists this ribosomal RNA (720 nucleotides) under Staphylococcus haemolyticus. Its description in RNAcentral is "bacterial SSU rRNA". It matches the Rfam family "Bacterial small subunit ribosomal RNA", at positions 68 to 761 of the family's 1533-position model. The record is from RNAcentral. Lineage: Bacteria; Bacillati; Bacillota; Bacilli; Caryophanales; Staphylococcaceae.